This 174-nucleotide non-coding RNA is filed under the name Anaerolineales bacterium. RNAcentral describes it as "6S RNA". It matches the Rfam family "6S / SsrS RNA". From Rfam's summary of the family: E. coli 6S RNA was the first non coding RNA to be sequenced, but its function was unknown until recently. It consists of 184 nucleotides that fold into an extended hairpin structure with a large single-stranded internal bulge. The record is from RNAcentral. Lineage: Bacteria; Bacillati; Chloroflexota; Anaerolineae; Anaerolineales.
AAUGCCCUGCUGUGUACGUGAUGCUGCUAGAGGUUUUGAGCCAACACUUUAAGAAUGGAGUCCUUCCUCCGUUGGGGGACGCGAUAGGCUAGAGCCAAGGCGGAGCCCACGGGUAGAACUCCACCUGCGAAAGCAGGUUCAAAACAACGCCGCACACGACAUGGCGGGGUGAUU